This 611-nucleotide long non-coding RNA is filed under the name Zonotrichia albicollis (white-throated sparrow). Its description in RNAcentral is "lncRNA (ENSZALG00000001725.1)". Lineage: Eukaryota; Metazoa; Chordata; Aves; Passeriformes; Passerellidae. The record is from RNAcentral.
GUGGGAAGGGUUUGGGAUGAGGUUUGGAAAAUGGAGCUGCUGGGGGUGAGCGCCUGAGAGGAGUGAAGCGGUUCCUGGACUUGGGUGGUGGGUGGAUCUUGGAUGAUGGUUGGAUCCUGGAUCACAGUUGGACCUUGGAUGAUGGUUGGAUCUUGGACAGUGUUUGGAUCUUGGAUGAGAUUGGAUCUUGGAUGAUGGUUGGAUCUUGGAUGAUGGUUGGAUCUUGGAUGAGGUUUGGAUCUUGGACAGUGUUUAUAUCUUGGAUCACGUUUGGAUCUUGGAUGAGAUUUGGAUCGUGGAUGGUGAUUGGAUUUUGGAGCACGGUUGGAUCUUGGAUGGUUGGACCUUGGAUAACCUUCGGAUCUUGGAUGAGGUUUUCAUGUUGGAUGGUGGCUGGAUCUUGGAUCGAGGUUGGAUCGUGCGUGAUGGUGGCACCUUGGAGGAUGUUUGGAUCUUGGAUGAAGUUUGGAAGCUUUUUUGGGGGGAAAAAUCCAAAUUUCCAGUCAGGAUGAAACAGAACUCGUGGAUUCUCCACUGCCAAACCCUGUAAAUAGGAAGGGACGUGACAAAACUGACUUAAUUCAUUNAAUUUGAUGAUUUGGAAUUUUUAU